AUGGCACCCUUGAGACUCCUCCGGUCCGCCGUCGGACGGCUCAGGGCGGCGCAGUCCGCCGGCCGCGCAGCUUUCUCCAGCGCCGCCGCUACGACGGAGGCCAAGGCGACCGUCCGCGAGGGGGUGAUCGCCGCCGCCGCCGCGGCCGUCGCAGGGUCCGGGCUGGGGCUCUGGCUCAUGCCGCCGGCGCUCGCGGACUCCGGCGAGCUGGCCCGCGCCGCCGCGCCAGGACAGAUCGCCGCGGCCGGGCAGAUCUCGGCGGACGCCGGCGCCGUGGAGGAGCGGCACGAGAAGAAGACGAGGUUCCUGCUCGCAGACUCAUACCGCCGAAGGGUGUUCUUCAACUACGAGAAACGGAUACGGCUUCGCAGCCCUCCGGAAAAGAUUUUUGAGUACUUUGCGUCUGUGCGAAAACCGGAUGGGGAAAUGUUCAUGUUGCCUGCCGACUUGAUGAGAGCGGUGGUCCCUGUUUUCCCUCCAUCGGAGUCGAACGUCGUGCGGGAAGGGAGGCUAAGGGGGGAACCCAGCCCCGGAGAGCUGCACUGCGCGCCAUCCAAAUUCUUUGUCCUGUUCGACACAAACACCGAUGGUCUCAUCUCAUUUGCCGAGUACAUCUUCUUUGUUACAUUACUCAGCAUUCCUGAGUCAAGCUUCAGUGCGGCCUUCAAAAUGUUCGACGUUGAUCUCAGUGGGGAGAUAGACAAAGAAGAGUUCAAGAAAGUAAUGGCAUUGAUGCGGUCCUAUAACAGACAAGGAGCUGCCCAUAGGCAUGGCUUACGUACAGGAUUUAAAGUUGGCCAGUCUGUGGAAAAUGGUGGGGUUGUUGAGUAUUUCUUUGGUAAUGAUGGGAAUGAACCUCUACACUUUGAUAAGUUCACAAGUUUUUUGAAGGAAUUGCAUGAAGAGAUUAUUCGUCUGGAAUUCAGUCAUUAUGAUGUCAAGUCGACGAACACUAUCCCGGCAAAGGAUUUUGCACUGUCCAUGGUGGCUUCUGCUGACAUGAAUCACAUUAGCAAGCUACUUGAUAGAGCUGAUACGUUGGAAAAUGACCCUUAUCUCAAGCACUUGCGCAUUACCUUUGAGGAGUUUAAGGCAUUUGCUGAUUUACGCCGAAGAUUAGAAUCAUUGACGAUGGCUAUAUUUGCUUAUGGUCAAGUAAAUGGGCUGUUGACAAAGCAGGAUCUGAAGCGUGCAGCACAGCAUGUCUGUGGUGUUGAAUUAACCGACAGAGUGGUGGACAUCAUUUUCCAUGUGUUUGACAUGAACAAUGAUGGGCACCUGAGCUCAGAGGAGUUCCUGAGAGCACUACAAAGACGAGAAGCCGAUAUUCAUCAGCCAGCGGCGCGAGGAGGUCCCAUGGGCUGGCUGAACCCUAAAAAUCGUUCUUCGCUCCUACAGAUGCUGCGCUAG
RNAcentral lists this ribosomal RNA (1410 nucleotides) under Triticum aestivum (bread wheat). Its description in RNAcentral is "partial small subunit ribosomal RNA". Lineage: Eukaryota; Viridiplantae; Streptophyta; Magnoliopsida; Poales; Poaceae. The record is from RNAcentral.